Molecule: ribosomal RNA, 497 nt
Filed under: uncultured bacterium
Lineage: Bacteria
Description: partial 16S ribosomal RNA
Rfam family: Bacterial small subunit ribosomal RNA
Source: RNAcentral
GAUGAACGCUGGCGGCGUGCCUAAUACAUGCAAGUCGAGCGAACAGACGAGGAGCUUGCUCCUCUGACGUUAGCAGCGGACGGGUGAGUAACACGUGGAUAACCUACCUAUAAGACUGGGAUAACUUCGGGAAACCGGAGCUAAUACCGGAUAAUAUAUUGAACCGCAUGGUUCAAUAGUGAAAGACGGUUUUGCUGUCACUUAUAGAUGGAUCCGCGCCGCAUUAGCUAGUUGGUAAGGUAACGGCUUACCAAGGCAACGAUGCGUAGCCGACCUGAGAGGGUGAUCGGCCACACUGGAACUGAGACACGGACCAGACUCCUACGGGAGGCAGCAGUAGGGAAUCUUCCGCAAAGGGCGAAAGCCUGACGGAGCAACGCCGCGUGAGUGAUGAAGGUCUUCGGAUCGUAAAACUCUGUUAUUAGGGAAGAACAAAUGUGUAAGUAACUAUGCACGUCUUGACGGUACCUAAUCAGAAAGCCACGGCUAACUACGUG